UCAUGGUUAUGUUGAUGAGUUGACCUUUGUUCAUUGUGCUGACCUCUAUGAUAACUUUGUGCACCUGAAUGUAUAUCUGAUGAGAAAACAAUUGUAUAAUUAAAAGACUAUAUAUUACCGAAAAUUUGAUGUAACUAUUUAUGGUGAGAUUAAAAGUUAGUUGAAUAUUUGGAAUGAAAUAUAAUUUGAAGUAAUUACACAUAAAUUUAUAAAUACUAACCAAUAAUAGGUUCAACGGUUUGUAGAUGAUUUGGUCUUGUCGCGUUGCUGUAAGUUUGAUGAUAUAUUGUUGGAUCAAAGUUAUAACCUGUAUAAAAAAUGUAAGAACAAUUGUUAGGUAUAUAAGAAGGCAUUUAAAAAGUUAUACAUAUAUCGAUAUGAUAUAUAUGUAUGAUUUAGUAACAUUAAUUGACCAUUGUUAGUUUCGGGACUACGACGAUGACUUGGGCCUGCUUCAUUGUCAUGACUUCCAUGAUACCUUGUAGUAUUAGUGACAUCAGCUGGAAAAAAUAGAGUAUAUAAAUUAUAUGACUUGGUUAUAAAUGAUUGUCACAUAUUUGAUCAUAACUUUAAAGUGUUUAUGUUAACUAAUUUUCAAAGGAUUGUAGUACUGAAAAGUUGAUAUCAUAUAAAAGUAAUAUUUGUAUAUAUAUAUAUACAUAAAAAAUAGUAGAUAUAUUUAUACAUAGUGUAUAUGUUUUAAGUAUUAGAAGAGGUUACCUGUGCGAAAUUGUUGACAUAAGACUGAUCUAGCAAUAUGACGUACGUACGUUAAUCUCAUUGCACUCGAAAUAUUUGUUGGUAUAUCUUCAACAUGACCAUGAUUAUAACCUGAAAUGUGAAUUAUUUUUUUUUAAUAUUAUCAUUGUGUCAUUUCAAUUUUAAGCUUAAUUUCAGUAAUUUUAAAAAUAGUGUUAUUAUUUUAAGAAAAUAUAUGUGACAACUACAAUAAUAGAAUUAAGUUAUAAUAAAAUGAAUAAUUUUACAUAGUGUGUGUAUUUCAAGUAUAAAAGAAAAUACCUGUGCGAAAUUGUUGUCGGAAAGAUGAUCUAGCAAUUUCACGUACUGACGUCAAUCUCAAGGUAGUUAAAAUAUUUGUUGAUGUAGUCUCAAAAGGGUUAUGAAUAGAACCUAAAAUUACAACAAAUCAAAGUUGAAUAAAACGUAUUAUAAUAUAUUAAUAUUUAGACUUUAACAUGAGUAAUAUUUGAGUUUCUUCAGUGUAUGGAAAUGAUAUGUGGCAAAUGUAAUAAUACUUGUAGUUCUUUGUUCAGAGUUUGUGCGAACAUGAAGAUUGUAAUCAUUUAAUUGUGCUUCAUU
RNAcentral lists this long non-coding RNA (1320 nucleotides) under Lupinus angustifolius (narrow-leaved blue lupine). RNAcentral describes it as "long non-coding RNA (LANG_LNC001558)". Lineage: Eukaryota; Viridiplantae; Streptophyta; Magnoliopsida; Fabales; Fabaceae. The record is from RNAcentral.